AGGAGUGUAGUUCGAAUGGUAGAACGAUGGUCUCCAAAACCAGAGGCUAAGGGUUCGAGUCCCUUCUCUCCUG
Molecule: transfer RNA, 73 nt
Filed under: Chaetosphaeridium globosum
Lineage: Eukaryota; Viridiplantae; Streptophyta; Coleochaetophyceae; Coleochaetales; Chaetosphaeridiaceae
Description: tRNA-Trp
Rfam family: tRNA
About the family: Transfer RNA (tRNA) molecules are approximately 80 nucleotides in length. Their secondary structure includes four short double-helical elements and three loops (D, anti-codon, and T loops). Further hydrogen bonds mediate the characteristic L-shaped molecular structure. tRNAs have two regions of fundamental functional importance: the anti-codon, which is responsible for specific mRNA codon recognition, and the 3' end, to which the tRNAs corresponding amino acid is attached (by aminoacyl-tRNA synthetases). tRNAs cope with the degeneracy of the genetic code in two manners: having more than one tRNA (with a specific anti-codon) for a particular amino acid; and 'wobble' base-pairing, i.e. permitting non-standard base-pairing at the 3rd anti-codon position.
Source: RNAcentral